RNAcentral lists this long non-coding RNA (740 nucleotides) under Homo sapiens (human). RNAcentral describes it as "deleted in lymphocytic leukemia 2". Lineage: Eukaryota; Metazoa; Chordata; Mammalia; Primates; Hominidae. The record is from RNAcentral.
CCGACCUCCGGCUAGUGGGAAAGGCCGCGCGACCGCCCGUCCUCCAACUACAGGGACCGCACGAACAGCGACUGGGAAACUGCCACUAGAAAAAGAUGACUGUCCAACUAAAACCUGCAUACACAGCUACAUCCUUCCCUGGAAGAGCACAGUGGAACUAGAUCCUAGUACAGAUAGCACAGGGAUUGUCAACAUUCUUGUCACACUGAAAUUUCCUUCUACUGAUCUCCAAAAACAGAUGCCCUGCCCAGAAGCAACACGGCUAAUGGGUGCCACCGUGGAGACCCAGGCAACCUGAGAGUAGUCCUGACAGCCAGACCUCCAGGGUGGAAAUGGGAAGGUCUACAGAGAAAGGUCAGGAUUUAACAGGGAAAUGGAGGAGGGCAAGAAUGGGGGUCAGGAGGUAUCUACGCAUUUUGAUAUGAAAUUAAGAAGUUCAUUUAAAAUAUACAACCAAGGCCCGUGACACUUUUUGUAACAAGAUUCUAGCUUAUCUUCCCACUAGAUUUUGUUGGACUUUUUUCAAAUUGUAUCUGAUUGUGUUUUUCAAACUAGGCCAGGAGGGCCCCUCAACUUCUAAAAUACAAAAAUUCUUUCUGCUCCUCUUUUCAAAUCUUCUCAGAUUCUGGACACACCCAGAAAUUCCAUGUGCCUUUUUACUCCCUUAAUCCUGUUAACUUUUUGUCUCUUCUUAGCAAUGACUUCCUUUCAUUUUAGAGAAAGUUCUGCUGGUAACAUAC